GACAGAGGGUGCAAACGUUGUUCGGAUUUACUGGGCGUAAAGCGCGUGUAGGCGGCUUUGCAAGUCGGAUGUGAAAUCCCACAGCUCAACCGUGGAAGUGCAUCCGAAACUGCAUCGCUCGAGUCUCGGAGAGGAAGGUGGAAUGCUUGGUGUAGAGGUGAAAUUCGUAGAUAUCAAGCAGAACACCUGCGGCGAAGGCGGCCUUCUGGACGAUGACUGACGCUGAGACGCGAAAGCGUGGGGAGCAAACAGG
Molecule: ribosomal RNA, 253 nt
Filed under: uncultured bacterium
Lineage: Bacteria
Description: partial 16S ribosomal RNA
Rfam family: Bacterial small subunit ribosomal RNA
Source: RNAcentral